CACAAUUGCGAAAAACCCCCUGCAGUUCAAACUGCUCAAAAACUGCCACUGCGUACCGGUACACGGGCCCACGUACUGGUACAUAUCCCACGAAAAUGCCAAACCCGAGCCUCGGGUUGGCUGGAAAGCUGCCUGUGUACCGGUACACCAUUCCGUACCGGUACAACCAUCAGCCCUGUAUCGGUACAGCCAUCAACCCUGUACCGGUACACAGUCUAAAGAAGGCUACCCGAGAGCUAACCAAAAAU
This 248-nucleotide long non-coding RNA is filed under the name Ananas comosus (pineapple). Its description in RNAcentral is "long non-coding RNA (ACOM_LNC042293)". The record is from RNAcentral. Lineage: Eukaryota; Viridiplantae; Streptophyta; Magnoliopsida; Poales; Bromeliaceae.